GGGUCAGGAGGUUGGUCGUGCCACCGGUACGUACUGGUCUCACUGAUUCCUCCUUCCUGAAGAACCGUAAUGCCGUUAAUUUGGUGUUGCGGGGAAACAGGACUGUUACUUUGAAAAAAUUAGAGUGUUUAAAGCAAGCUAACGCUUGAAUACAUUAGCAUGGAAUAAUGAAAUAGGACGAUCGAUCCUAUUUUGUUGGUUUCUAGGAUUGACGUA
This 216-nucleotide ribosomal RNA is filed under the name Glomeromycotina sp. RNAcentral describes it as "partial small subunit ribosomal RNA". The stretch from base 40 to 216 matches the Rfam family "Eukaryotic small subunit ribosomal RNA", at positions 686 to 864 of the family's 1831-position model. Lineage: Eukaryota; Fungi; Glomeromycota. The record is from RNAcentral.